UUCCGGUUGAUCCUGCCGAAGGCUACUGCUAUUGGAGUUCGAUUAAGCCAUGCGAGUCUAAGGGAUCUUCGGAUCCCUGGCGUAAUGCUCAGUAACACGUGGAUAAUCUACCCUCAGGUGGGGCAUAAACCCGGGAAACUGGGGCCAAUUCCCCAUAAAUACAGAUGGCUGGAAUGCUUCUGUAUUCAAAGCUCCGGCGCCUGAGGAUGAGUCUGCGGCCUAUCAGGUUGUAGUCAGGGUCAUGACCUGACUAGCCAGCGACGGGUAUGGGGUGUGAGAGCACUUGCCCAGAGAUGGUUUCUGAGACACGAAACCAGGCCCUACGGGGCGCAGCAGGCGCGAAAACUUCGCAAUGCGGGAAACCGUGACGAGGGGAUUCCAAGUGUCUAUGCAUUGCAUAGACUGUUUUUUAGCCUAAAUAGCUAUUAGAGUAAGGGGUGGGCAAGACCGGUGCCAGCCGCCGCGGUAACACCGGCACCUCGAGUGGUAGCCACUAUUAUUGGGCCUAAAGCGUUCGUAGCCGGUUUGGUAAAUUCUUGGGUAAAUCGUACCGCUUAACGGUGCGGAUUCCGAGGACACUACCAGACUUGAGACCGGGGGAGAUCAGAGGUACUUGUGGGGGAGCGGUGAAAUGUUGUAAUCCCACAGGGACCACCAGUGGCGAAGGCGUCUGAUCAGAACGGCUCUGACGGUGAGGAACGAAACCCUGGGGCGCAAACGGGAUUAGAUACCCCGGUAGUCCAGGGCGUAAACGCUGCUGACUUGGUGUUGGAGAUCCUACGAGGAUGUCCAGUGCUGGCGCGAAGGUAUUAAGUCAGCCGCCUGGGGAGUACGGUCGCAAGACUGAAACUUAAAGGAAUUGGCGGGGGAGCACUGCAACGUGUGGAGCGUGCGGUUUAAUUGGAGUCAACGCCGGA
This 917-nucleotide ribosomal RNA is filed under the name uncultured marine archaeon. RNAcentral describes it as "bacterial SSU rRNA". It matches the Rfam family "Archaeal small subunit ribosomal RNA", at positions 1 to 922 of the family's 1478-position model. The record is from RNAcentral.